UGUAAAUCGGUAAUUAGGUUUUUUUUUUUUCUCCUUCAGAAUACAUCGCAGUUUAUAUUUGCUUGGUGUAUUACACACUGAACAUCCACGUAUUUAGAAAACAGCAAUUUUAAAAAGUCCAAGGUUAUUGCCGGGACUCUGUGCCUGCACCAUGAAUCCACUGCUCCUGGAGACCAUUUUUUUCCCUUUUGUUGCCCUUGUUUUUUGUCAUUGUUGUGGUUAUUACUAUUGUUGUUGCUGUCGUUGGAUAGGACAGAGAGAAAUGGAGAGAGGAGGGGAAGACAGAUAGGGGGAGAGAAAGACAGACACCUGCAGACCUGCUUCACCGCCUGGGAAGCGACUGCCCUACAGGUGGGGAGCCAGGGGCUUGAACUGGGAUCCUUACUCUGGUCCUUGCGCUUUGCACCACGUGCACUUAACCCGCUGGGCUACCGCCCGACUCCCUAAAUUAUUUUUCGUCUCUCUCUCUCUCCUUUCUGAGAGACAUACAGAUGAAGCCUGUAUUUCAGACUUUCUUUGCAUAAAUUGUUACGUGUAUCUAAUAUGCUCCACUGCUUUCUAUCAUUUUUUUU
Molecule: long non-coding RNA, 572 nt
Organism: Erinaceus europaeus (western European hedgehog)
Lineage: Eukaryota; Metazoa; Chordata; Mammalia; Eulipotyphla; Erinaceidae
Exons: 2
Source: RefSeq, a predicted model, not a curated record